UGGAAACGACCGCUAAUACCGCAUACGCCCUACGGGGGAAAGGUCAGCCGGAGAAAGAGGGGCCCGCGUUAGAUUAGCUAGUUGGUGGGGUAAUGGCCUACCAAGGCGACGAUCUAUAGCUGGUCUGAGAGGAUGAUCAGCCACACUGGGACUGAGACACGGCCCAGACUCCUACGGGAGGCAGCAGUGGGGAAUAUUGGACAAUGGGGGCAACCCUGAUCCAGCAAUGCCGCGUGUGUGAUGAAGGCCCUAGGGUUGUAAAGCACUUUCACUGGUGAAGAUGAUGACGGUAACCAGAGAAGAAGCCCCGGCUAACUUCGUGCCAGCAGCCGCGGUAAUACGAAGGGGGCGAGCGUUGUUCGGAAUUACUGGGCGUAAAGGGCGCGUAGGCGGCUCUUUAAGUUAGGCGUGAAAGCCCCGGGCUCAACCUGGGAACUGCGCUUAAGACUGGAGAGCUANAAAACGGAAGAGGGUAGUGGAAUUCCCAGUGUA
This 492-nucleotide ribosomal RNA is filed under the name uncultured bacterium. RNAcentral describes it as "bacterial SSU rRNA". It matches the Rfam family "Bacterial small subunit ribosomal RNA", at positions 151 to 677 of the family's 1533-position model. The record is from RNAcentral.